Molecule: ribosomal RNA, 221 nt
Filed under: Isochrysis galbana
Lineage: Eukaryota; Haptophyta; Isochrysidales; Isochrysidaceae
Description: partial Bacterial large subunit ribosomal RNA
Rfam family: Bacterial large subunit ribosomal RNA
Source: RNAcentral
ACCGGGAUGGACGUACCUCUGGUGUACCGGUUGUAGCGCCAGCUGCACCGCCGGGUAGCUAAGUACGGAAGGGAUAACCGCUGAAAGCAUCUAAGCGGGAAGCCCCCCUCAAAACCAGGUAUCCCUUGAGAGCCGUGGAAGACCACCACGUCGAUAGGCUGGAAGUGGAAGCGCAGCAAUGUGUGGAGCGGACCAGUACUAAUUGCUCGAUAGGCUUGAUC